RNAcentral lists this ribosomal RNA (960 nucleotides) under Xenodidymella applanata. Its description in RNAcentral is "eukaryotic LSU rRNA". It matches the Rfam family "Eukaryotic large subunit ribosomal RNA", at positions 68 to 1048 of the family's 3401-position model. The record is from RNAcentral. Lineage: Eukaryota; Fungi; Ascomycota; Dothideomycetes; Pleosporales; Didymellaceae.
ACAGGGAUUGCCCUAGUAACGGCGAGUGAAGCGGCAACAGCUCAAAUUUGAAAUCUGGCGUCUUUGGCGUCCGAGUUGUAAUUUGCAGAGGGCGCUUUGGCAUUGGCAGCGGUCCAAGUUCCUUGGAACAGGACGUCACAGAGGGUGAGAAUCCCGUACGUGGUCGCUAGCCUUUACCGUGUAAAGCCCCUUCGACGAGUCGAGUUGUUUGGGAAUGCAGCUCUAAAUGGGAGGUAAAUUUCUUCUAAAGCUAAAUACUGGCCAGAGACCGAUAGCGCACAAGUAGAGUGAUCGAAAGAUGAAAAGCACUUUGGAAAGAGAGUUAAAAAGCACGUGAAAUUGUUGAAAGGGAAGCGCUUGCAGCCAGACUUGCCUGUAGUUGCUCAUCCGGGUUUUUACCCGGUGCACUCUUCUGCGGGCAGGCCAGCAUCAGUUUGGGCGGUUGGAUAAAGGUCUCUGUCAUGUACCUCUCUUCGGGGAGAACUUAUAGGGGAGACGACAUGCAACCAGCCUGGACUGAGGUCCGCGCAUCUGCUAGGAUGCUGGCGUAAUGGCUGUAAGCGGCCCGUCUUGAAACACGGACCAAGGAGUCUAACAUCUAUGCGAGUGUUUGGGUGUCAAGCCCGAACGCGUAAUGAAAGUGAACGGAGGUGGGAACCCCUUGGGGUGCACCAUCGACCGAUCCUGAUGUCUUCGGAUGGAUUUGAGUAAGAGCAUAGCUGUUGGGACCCGAAAGAUGGUGAACUAUGCUUGAAUAGGGUGAAGCCAGAGGAAACUCUGGUGGAGGCUCGCAGCGGUUCUGACGUGCAAAUCGAUCGUCAAAUUUGGGCAUAGGGGCGAAAGACUAAUCGAACUAUCUAGUAGCUGGUUCCUGCCGAAGUUUCCCUCAGGAUAGCAGUAACGUUUUCAGUUUUAUGAGGUAAAGCGAAUGAUUAGAGGCCUGGGGGUUGAAACAACCUU